Molecule: ribosomal RNA, 253 nt
Filed under: uncultured bacterium
Lineage: Bacteria
Description: partial 16S ribosomal RNA
Rfam family: Bacterial small subunit ribosomal RNA
Source: RNAcentral
UACAGAGGUCUCAAGCGUUGUUCGGAUUCAUUGGGCGUAAAGGGUGUGUAGGUGGCGCGCUAAGUCGGGUGUGAAAUUUCGGAGCUUAACUCCGAAACUGCGUUCGAUACUGGCGUGCUUGAGGACUGGAGAGGAGACUGGAAUUCAUGGUGUAGCAGUGAAAUGCGUAGAGAUCAUGAGGAAGACCAGUGGCGAAGGCGGGUCUCUGGACAGUUCCUGACACUGAGACACGAAGGCCAGGGGAGCAAACGGG